RNAcentral lists this long non-coding RNA (268 nucleotides) under Physcomitrium patens. RNAcentral's name for it is "long non-coding RNA (PPAT_LNC002973)". The record is from RNAcentral. Lineage: Eukaryota; Viridiplantae; Streptophyta; Bryopsida; Funariales; Funariaceae.
AUUUAAGAUAUACUGUUACUCUUUUGAGGAUCUGAGGAGUUGUACAACAACUUUGGAAGAUCGGAAGGGGCGAAUGAAAUGGAGAUUUUAAGGCCUACAUCUUUUAUAAAAAUAUUAUUGCUUUUGGAGUUCAUGUGAAGGAGUUAUAAGGAGUUGAAGGCGGUGCUUUCAAAUCAAAGGCAGUAAGUGAGUAGUUUUAUUCAUAGUAAUGGUUGGAACCAUAACUUGAAUUUUUGGACGAACUUUUGGCUCAAACUUUUUAGAGAAU